RNAcentral lists this ribosomal RNA (497 nucleotides) under uncultured bacterium. RNAcentral's name for it is "partial 16S ribosomal RNA". It matches the Rfam family "Bacterial small subunit ribosomal RNA", at positions 28 to 507 of the family's 1533-position model. The record is from RNAcentral.
GACGAACGCUGGCGGCGUGCCUAAUACAUGCAAGUUGAGCGCUGAAGGUUGGUACUUGUACCCACUGGAUGAGCAGCGAACGGGUGAGUAACGCGUGGGGAAUCUGCCUUUGAGCGGGGGACAACAUUUGGAAACGAAUGCUAAUACCGCAUAAAAACUUUAAACACAAGUUUUAAGUUUGAAAGAUGCAAUUGCAUCACUCAAAGAUGAUCCCGCGUUGUAUUAGCUAGUUGGUGAGGUAAAGGCUCACCAAGGCGAUGAUACAUAGCCGACCUGAGAGGGUGAUCGGCCACAUUGGGACUGAGACACGGCCCAAACUUCUACGGGAGGCAGCAGUAGGGAAUCUUCGGCAAUGGACGAAAGGCUGACCGAGCAACGCCGCGUGAGAGAAGAAGGGUUUCGGAUCGGAAAACUCUGUUGGUAGAGAAGAAAGUUGGUGAGAGUGGAAAGCUCAUCAAGUGACGGUAACUACCCAGAAAGGGACGGCUAACUACGUG